Molecule: ribosomal RNA, 449 nt
Filed under: uncultured bacterium
Lineage: Bacteria
Description: partial 16S ribosomal RNA
Rfam family: Bacterial small subunit ribosomal RNA
Source: RNAcentral
AACGAACGCUGGCGGCAUGCCUAACACAUGCAAGUCGAACGAAGCCUUCGGGCUUAGUGGCGCACGGGUGCGUAACGCGUGGGAAUCUGCCCUUGGGUUCGGAAUAACAGUUAGAAAUGACUGCUAAUACCGGAUGAUGUCUUCGGACCAAAGAUUUAUCGCCCAAGGAUGAGCCCGCGUAGGAUUAGGUAGUUGGUGGGGUAAUGGCCCACCAAGCCGACGAUCCUUAGCUGGUCUGAGAGGAUGAUCAGCCACACUGGGACUGAGACACGGCCCAGACUCCUACGGGAGGCAGCAGUGGGGAAUAUUGGACAAUGGGCGAAAGCCUGAUCCAGCAAUGCCGCGUGAGUGAUGAAGGCCUUAGGGUUGUAAAGCUCUUUUACCAGGGAUGAUAAUGACAGUACCUGGAGAAUAAGCUCCGGCUAACUCCGUGCCAGCAGCCGCCGCAG